GAUGAACGCUGGCGGCGUGCUUAACACAUGCAAGUCGAACGGAAAGGCCCAAGCUUGCUUGGGUGCUCGAGUGGCGAACGGGUGAGUAACACGUGGGUGAUCUGCCCUGCACUUUGGGAUAAGCCUGGGAAACUGGGUCUAAUACCGGAUAGGACCAUCGUCUAGUGUCGGUGGUGGAGAGUUUUUCGGUGUUGGAUGAGCUCGCGGCCUAUCAGCUUGUUGGUGGGGUAAUGGCCUACCAAGGCGUCGACGGGUAGCCGGCCUGUGAGGGUGUACGGCCACAUUGGGACUGAGAUAUGGCCCAGACUCCUACGGGAGGGAGAAGUGGGGAAUAUUGCACAAUGGGCGCAAGCCUGAUGCAGAGAAGCGGCGUGGGGGAUGACGGCCUUCGGGUUGUAAACUCCGUUCGCGAAGGACGAAGCGUUUUGUGACGGUACUUGGAGAAGAAGCACCGGCUAACUACGUG
This 466-nucleotide ribosomal RNA is filed under the name uncultured bacterium. RNAcentral's name for it is "partial 16S ribosomal RNA". It matches the Rfam family "Bacterial small subunit ribosomal RNA", at positions 28 to 507 of the family's 1533-position model. The record is from RNAcentral.